CAGUCGCCACGGGAAUACGUAGGGUGCAAGCGUUAAUCGGAAUUACUGGGCGUAAAGCGUGCGCAGGCGGUUAUAUAAGACAGAUGUGAAAUCCCCGGGCUCAACCUGGGAACUGCAUUUGUGACUGUAUAGCUAGAGUACGGCAGAGGGGGAUGGAAUUCCGCGUGUAGCAGUGAAAUGCGUAGAUAUGCGGAGGAACAUUGAUGGCGAAGGCAAUCCCCUGGGCCUGUACUGACGCUCAUGCACGAAAGCGUGGGGAGCAAACAGGAUUAGAUACCCCUGUAGUCCCUGUCUCUUAUAC
RNAcentral lists this ribosomal RNA (301 nucleotides) under uncultured bacterium. Its description in RNAcentral is "partial 16S ribosomal RNA". It matches the Rfam family "Bacterial small subunit ribosomal RNA", at positions 509 to 807 of the family's 1533-position model. The record is from RNAcentral.